This 394-nucleotide ribosomal RNA is filed under the name uncultured Synergistaceae bacterium. RNAcentral describes it as "bacterial SSU rRNA". It matches the Rfam family "Bacterial small subunit ribosomal RNA", at positions 997 to 1382 of the family's 1533-position model. Lineage: Bacteria; Thermotogati; Synergistota; Synergistia; Synergistales; Synergistaceae. The record is from RNAcentral.
AGCGAAGAGAUUCAAUCGACUCUGCAGUAAUAGCAGAGAGCCUGCACAGGUGCUGCAUGGCUGUCGUCAGCUCGUGUCGUGAGAUGUUGGUUAAGUCCCGCAACCGAGCGCAACCCCUAUUGCCAGUUGCUAACAGGAGAGCUGAGCACUCUGGCGAGACUGCCGCCGACAAGGCGGAGGAAGGUGGGGAUGACGUCAAGUCAUCAUGGCCUUUAUGCCCAGGGCUACACACGUGCUACAAUGGCCGGCACAGACGGCAGCUUAGUGGCGACACUUGGCAAAUCCUCUAAAGCCGGUCCCAGUUCGGAUUGCAGUCUGCAACUCGACUGCAUGAAGCCGGAAUCGCUAGUAAUCGCAGAUCAGCCACGGCGCGGUGAAUACGUUCCCGGGCCUU